GGCCGACUAGCUCAGUUGGUUAGAGCGUCGUGCUAAUACGAUCCCUUGGUAAGGGUGCGAACACGCGAAUCUCCCACUCUUACCGAUGGACUCGAUACGCGAAGGUCUUGGGUUCGAUCCCCACGUUGGCCA
This 132-nucleotide transfer RNA is filed under the name Suillus brevipes Sb2. RNAcentral describes it as "tRNA-Ile". It matches the Rfam family "tRNA". From Rfam's summary of the family: Transfer RNA (tRNA) molecules are approximately 80 nucleotides in length. Lineage: Eukaryota; Fungi; Basidiomycota; Agaricomycetes; Boletales; Suillaceae. The record is from RNAcentral.